CCUACGGGUGGCAGCAGUGGGGAAUAUUGGACAAUGGGCGAAAGCCUGAUCCAGCCAUGCCGCGUGUGUGAAGAAGGCCUUCGGGUUGUAAAGCACUUUCAGUGGGGAAGAAAGCCUUGGGGCUAAUACCCUCGAGGAAGGACAUCACCCACAGAAGAAGCACCGGCUAACUCCGGGCCAGCAGCCGCGGUAAUACGGAGGGUGCGAGCGUUAAUCGGAAUUACUGGGCGUAAAGCGCGCGUAGGCGGUCUGAUAAGCCGGUUGUGAAAGCCCCGGGCUCAACCUGGGAACGGCAUCCGGAACGGUCAGGCUAGAGUGCAGGAGAGGAAGGUAGAAUUCCCGGUGUAGCGGUGAAAUGCGUAGAGAUCAGGAGGAAUACCAGUGGCGAAGGCGGCCUUCUGGACUGACACUGACGCUGAGGUGCGAAAGCGUGGGUAGCGAACAGGAUUAGAUACCCUAGUAGUC
RNAcentral lists this ribosomal RNA (465 nucleotides) under Vreelandella stevensii. Its description in RNAcentral is "partial 16S ribosomal RNA". It matches the Rfam family "Bacterial small subunit ribosomal RNA", at positions 338 to 795 of the family's 1533-position model. Lineage: Bacteria; Pseudomonadati; Pseudomonadota; Gammaproteobacteria; Oceanospirillales; Halomonadaceae. The record is from RNAcentral.